Molecule: long non-coding RNA, 4886 nt
Organism: Mus musculus (house mouse)
Lineage: Eukaryota; Metazoa; Chordata; Mammalia; Rodentia; Muridae
Product: predicted gene 15527
Exons: 3
Source: RefSeq, a predicted model, not a curated record
GAGAGGUGCUAGCAUGCUUCUGUGUGCUGUGGCCUGGGGGAAGUCUAAGUGGACCUGGAACGUGGGUGGGGGAUAAGAAUGGGUAGAUGCUUCUGGGCUAUUCUGACUCCCAGUGGAAUGCAGAAGUAGGCUGCAGAGCACCCCCUACAGCCUGCCUGCGGAGCAGCACGGGGCUCCAGUCUAAUUUCCCUGUGGGCUCUCCAACCAGAGGCAUUCCUAACCACUGGACAAACACAUCGCAGAAGGCUCCUGUACAGUUGGAGCAGCACCCGGAAGGCUUGCACUAUGGUGGGCACAGGAAACUAAGGAUAACUAACAUUCAGGCCUUCACUUCAAGGAGCCAAUAUUUGCAAGAGUGAAGAGAAAUGGCCUUGAACCGUGUAGUCAUGUAACAAUUCCUGCUCCGGGACUCGGAAGAGGUGAACUUGGGUACAAUAUACCCUCAUGCCUUCUGGGUCCAGAGACCAGAUCUGAAGCAGAAACCCACUGGGUACACACUGGAAGCUGGCUGUGUGUAAAAGCUCCCAGAGAGACUCCAGUGAGGGAUCAUGCAGUUGCUGAAACAUUAUUGUUAUAAAUGAUACAGCAUGGAGCUAAAUAAAUGAGCUUUUGAAACACUGGUAAGUGGGAGCAGCUAGGACAGACAGCCAAGCCACCUUCGUGAUAAACAUCCUGAGCCCAGAGUGUACAGAUCAGGUUGCAGUUGGCCCUGCACAGCCUAUAAUCCUAUUUGGAUGGCUCAUCUCCACCCUCCCUCCCACGCAUACCAAUAUAACUUCAUAGGUGGUUGUAACCUGAGCCGAGAUCUCUUUUGAGUCAUGAGGAUUUGCCUGGAUGGGGAGUUAUAUGCCUGCUUUAGCUUCGGAAGGCUUGCUUUCCUUUAUUGGCUUGAGACAAAAUUCAUAGGACAUAAAGUUAGCAGCUGUAAACUGUGCAACUCUCCGAGGUCCAUGCAUGUUGUAUCGUCUAUUUAAAUAUCAUUCUAUUUUCAGGAGCGAGCAGUAUUCCACACAUGUGUAUAUCCACACUUGCUUAUCCACUCAUCUGUGGGUGGAUAUUUAAGUUGCUUCCUCCUCUGGGCUAUUGUGAACAUGAACACUGUGAACAUCUGUGUGGGGUGAUGGCCUCAGCACCUGUUUUUAAUUCUUCAGGGUAUGUACCUACUCACAGAGUUGCUAGGCCAUGGGGUAAUUUGUUUGAUUUCUAAGGAGCUGCUAGGCUGCUGUUCACAGAGACCAUCCCACUCCAGUUCCCACCAGCAGUGUAGGAGGACUCCAAUGACCACAGCUUCCCUAAAACUUACUGCUAUUUUUAAAGUAUUAUAACUUUUCUAGUUUCAUUUCUGUCUCUGUGACUAAUUCCUGAUCAAAAGAAUCUUAGGGAAGAAAGGACGUACUUAGCUUACAAUACCAGGUUAUAGUCCAUUGUUUUGGGGACACCAAGGCAGAAAUUUUGAGGAAUCACAUCCCCAGUCCAGGGUAGAGAGAAUAAACACAGGGGCCCUGUUUGCUUGCUUUCCUCUAACGUUCUCUUGUCUUAAUUAUUUUGUCCCUCUGCUUAGGGAAUGGCACCACCCACUGUUCUGGGUCUUCCUGAAUCAAUCGACAAUCAAAACAACCCCCAUGAAUGUGCCCUCAGGCCAACCUGAUCCAGAUAGUUCCUCAGUUGUAACUCUUCCUCAGGUACUCUAUGCAGUGUCAAGUUGCCAAUUAAAACUUACCCUGUUGGAUUUGAGGUGAUAUGACUAAUGACAAUGGACAUUGUUUCGUGUGCUUAUUUAGCUAUUUGUACAUUUUCUUUCAAAAAAUAUAUCUUUUCAGUAUCCUUCUCAAUUUAAAAAUGGAAUUGUCUCUCUUUUUGGCUUUUAAAUGUUAGAAAAUUUUAUACCUUGUGGCUAUUAAGACCUUUAACAGAAAUAUGAUUUGCAAGUGCUGUAUUCCAACUCAUCCUGCAUCUUUUCUCCUUGAUGCACAACAUGCUAAGAUCUGAAGAUGCAUGGUUUAUCCAGUGUUGGAUUAUUCAUAUUUCGGUGUCAUAUUUAAGAAUCCACUGCCCAGGAUAAGAUAAUGACCAUUUAUGUGUAUUUCUUCUACAUUCCCUUUAAGAUUUUAAUUCUUAUAUUUAAGUCAUUGAUCUAUUUUGCAUUAACUUCUAUAUACUGUUCACAAUAGUUCAAUUUCAUUUCUCUGUAUGGACCAGCCAGUUGUCCUAGCACCAUUUGCUGAAGAGAUUGUUUGGUUUCCAUUAAAUGUUCUCAGUACUCCUGUAUCAGUUGGCCCUGGGCGUGUGGGCUUGCUGUCAGUGUUGGGUCUGGAGGAACAUCCUGCAGCACCUGGAACAAUUGACCUCAUCUUCUUAGUGCACACCUGCUCCUCUCAGAUCCUGUCUUAGCAUCCUGCUGUGUACAGCUGCGACAACCCUGGGCCAGCCUAAAUCCUCUAAAACAUGUUAUUUUCAUUGAUUUCCUUCACCUCUACUUUGAUCACUGACUAGGGGUUCAGUUGUUGAAACUGUUGCAUUACCUGACCUUUGUCUUCAAGCACAGUGUUGUAUAUAUUGUAUUUCCAAUUCAGUGCAGAGAGAGCCCCCUUCCCUGGAGUAACUGAUGCGCAGAAUUACCCUCUAGAGCAUGUUACAAUGGAGAAUUUUAUUAAUCAGGGCUGGAACUGUGCUCAGUUUUAUAGAGAUUUAUAUCUCUAACCAUAUUAAGAAUCUUGCUUUCUUUAAAACAUGACCCUAACAAGGUGGGAUUUUGUUAUCAGCACAUGGCUUAAAGUCAGACUUCAAGCUUGUUUCCAGCCCCAGGUCCUGCCUUUCCUAGGCAAGGCUGAAAAAAAGUUCUAAUUAAUGCACCAGAGCAUUAAUCUUCUCAUACAUAAAGAGGUGAAGACAACAGAUCUCACUCCAAUCUCAUCCCCAGUGAUCUAAGGACUAGCGAGCACAAUGUACAUGUAUAUACACCUUAUAUGUAUUGAGGCUAGACAAUGCAAUUCCCCAACAGUGUAGCCAAGUCAAGGGAAAGAAAGAUGCCAGUCAAACUCAUUUCAACAUUUUUGAAUGCAUAUAUGCAUUCAAAACUCCAACACAUCUGUAAAUACCAAGACAAAAUAUAAUAAGUUCCUGCCUUUAUUAAGUCUGUUUCCUUUGUGGUUGUCACAAACUGUUUCAUGCCUAAAUACUCCACGUGCAUGUGUGCCAUUCCAGCAGUACAUACAUACAUAUAUGUUUUCAGAACAAUAAUUUUAUGGUCAAGGCUCUUUUGCUGGUUGGUUCCUGGUUUCCUGUAGUAACAUCUCCUUUUCAGCCAAUAGAAUUCAUUAUAGGGUGGGAACAUGGUAGUCUCUCAAGAGGUUUAUUUUAAGUCACCAGAAACAGAGGAGUGAAACAAGAGCCACAUGGAUGAGAUCUCUGGUGACAGACAGUUAGUGAACACCACAGUGUGAGCCCCUCCCCUAUGUUGUUAGGGCUCCAGUUGGUGGGAUAUUUUUGAUAGUUUAAGCCAUUGUUUCCACACUGGGCUAACGACUGUUUCUAAUAUUCCUCUUAACAAAUGCUGUCUUAUCAACUAGCAAUGGUCAAUUAAAAUGGCUACCCAAUGAGUCAUAAUAUAUGAAAGAAUAUUUUCUAAAAAGAAAAGAAAAACUGGACCAAAACACACGACUUGAAUGUGUGGGGGGGGGGGAGGUUUCAAAACACAACAAGGAAGGUCUCCUCGUGAUAGUUUUCCACCUUAAUAUACUGCAGAGGUCUGAACGAGAUGCCUACAACUUAGCCUAGGGAACUUGUUAAACAUAUUUUCAAAGCCCCGACUGCAAAGAUACUUCCAGAGGAGUUGUCUGUAAUAUGGAAGAAAGGAUGUCUUGAAACAUAUGGAAGGAAUGAAUUUAAACUGACUUCAUCUGAAAUGGGGAGUUAAAUCAACUCGGUGCCUUCAUCCAACGGAUUACCAAGCAGCCAUCAAAAAUGGUUUUAUGAAAAUGAUUUUAUUUAGAAAAAUGCUUCCAAGAAAUUACCAAGAGAGAAAGCAGCCUUCAAAUUGUCAGAUAAUAAAUAAAACUCUGUGUUCAAAUCUUCCUUUACCGGUGCUGGCUGAGUGUUUAAAAUAUCAUUUUUAAGAUUCUAGUAAAACAAAAUGGACGUCAUGAAUCUAUACAGUAUUGAUUUCAGUAAGAAAUGCAAAUGGCUCUGCUGAUGCUUCUGGGUUCUGGGAGCUGCUGUGGGGUAUGUCAACUAGGGACCCUUGCUGUGGGCUGUGUGCACUGACUGCCCUUGCUGUGGGCCAUGUGUACUGAGGAAGCUGCCCUCUGGCUGUUCCUUUUCUGCUCACCAUUAUCUCCAUUACCCAUCACUGCUGCUCCUCUAACCCCUUGAGCUGUCUACUGUGAAAUCUAGGGCCAUACAAACUUCCCUGAAGAAUAAGAGAGAAGGGUGAGAGGAGACCGGAAGUCUUACCCAGCUGUGAACUUUGUGAAUGAAAAUCAGGACAUCUUCCCUGAAGCCCGGCUCCUUCCCUCAGCUAUCAGCCCACAACAGAAGGCCAGAUACCUGGGUUCUACAGCUCAGCACUGUUGCUGACUUUGGCACUUGAAGCUCUUAUAUUUUUCUGUCAGCUCCAGGCUCUGCGUGUGUGUGUGUGUGUGUGUGUGUGUGUGUGUGUGUGUGUGAGAGAGAGAGAGAGAGAGAGAGAGAGAGAGAGAGCGCAACACAAAUACAAUAUAGAUGCAAAUUUAUCUUCAGAAUAAGGUCUCUUUUUAUUUUACCUCUUUUGUUUUUAGACUAUAUCUCAAGGGCUUUCAUUUUCAUUGGGAAAAUAUUCAAAAGUUUUGUUUGUUUUGUUUUGUUUUUUUUUUCCUUAACCCACCUAGGAAAGAAAUCAUGCUGAAUGC